This 429-nucleotide ribosomal RNA is filed under the name Pseudomonadota bacterium. RNAcentral's name for it is "Proteobacteria bacterium partial 16S ribosomal RNA". It matches the Rfam family "Bacterial small subunit ribosomal RNA", at positions 355 to 776 of the family's 1533-position model. Lineage: Bacteria; Pseudomonadati; Pseudomonadota. The record is from RNAcentral.
UGGGGAAUAUUGGACAAUGGGCGAAAGCCUGAUCCAGCCAUGCCGCGUGGGUGAAGAAGGUCUUCGGAGUGUAAAGCACUUUAAGUUGGGAGGAAGGGCAGUAAGCGAAUACCUUGCUGUUUUGACGAUACCGACAGAAUAAGCACCGGCUAACUCUGUGCCAGCAGCCGCGGUAAUACAGAGGGUGCAAGCGUUAAUCGGAAUUACUGGGCGUAAAGCGCGCGUAGGUGGUUCGUUAAGUUGAAUGUGAAAGCCCCGGGCUCAACCUAGGAACUGCAUCCAAAACUGGCGAGCUAGAGUAGGGCAGAGGGUGGUGGAAUUUCCUGUGUAGCGGUGAAAUGCGUAGAUAUAGGAAGGAACACCAGUGGCGAAGGCGACCACCUGGGCUCAUACUGACACUGAGGUGCGAAAGCGUGGGGAGCAAACAGG